GAUGAACGCUGGCGGCGUGCUUAACACAUGCAAGUCGAACGAAGCACUUUAUUACGAUUUCUUCGGAAUGACGAUUUGGUGACUGAGUGGCGGACGGGUGAGUAACGCGUGGGUAACCUGCCUUAUACAGGGGGAUAACAGUUGGAAACGGCUGCUAAUACCGCAUAAGCGCACAGGGUCGCAUGACCUGGUGUGAAAAACUCCGGUGGUAUGAGAUGGACCCGCGUUGGAUUAGCUGGUUGGUGAGGUAACGGCCCACCAAGGCGACGAUGCGUAGCCGACCUGAGAGGGUGAUCGGCCACAUUGGGACUGAGACAC
This 318-nucleotide ribosomal RNA is filed under the name uncultured bacterium. RNAcentral describes it as "bacterial SSU rRNA". It matches the Rfam family "Bacterial small subunit ribosomal RNA", at positions 28 to 327 of the family's 1533-position model. The record is from RNAcentral.